AUACGGAGGGUGCGAGCGUUAAUCGGAAUUACUGGGCGUAAAGAGUGCGUAGGCGGCUCGUUAAGUCAGAUGUGAAAGCCCUGGGCUCAACCUGGGAACUGCAUUUGAAACUGGCGAGCUAGAGUUGAGUAGAGGUAAGUGGAAUUUCAGGUGUAGCGGUGAAAUGCGUAGAUAUCUGAAGGAACACCAGUGGCGAAGGCGACUUACUGGACUCAAACUGACGCUGAGGUACGAAAGCGUGGGUAGCAAACAGGAUUAGAUACCCUGGUAGUCCACGCCGUAAACGAUGUCAACUAGCCGUUGGUCCUAUAUACAGGAUUAGUGGCGCAGCUAACGCAUUAAGUUGACCGCCUGGGGAGUACGGCCGCAAGGUUAAA
Molecule: ribosomal RNA, 377 nt
Filed under: uncultured bacterium
Lineage: Bacteria
Description: bacterial SSU rRNA
Rfam family: Bacterial small subunit ribosomal RNA
Source: RNAcentral